UACGUAGGGCGCAAGCGUUGUCCGGAAUUAUUGGGCGUAAAGAGCUCGUAGGCGGCCUGUUGCGUCCGCUGUGAAAUCCCGGGGCUCAACCCCGGGCCUGCAGUGGAUACGGGCUGGCUAGAGGCAGGCAGGGGAGAACGGAAUUCCUGGUGUAGCGGUGAAAUGCGUAGAUAUCGAGAGGAACACCUGCGGCGAAGGCGGGUUGCUGGGCCGACACUGACGCUGAUGCGCGAAAGCCAGGGGAGCGAACGGG
RNAcentral lists this ribosomal RNA (253 nucleotides) under uncultured bacterium. RNAcentral describes it as "partial 16S ribosomal RNA". It matches the Rfam family "Bacterial small subunit ribosomal RNA", at positions 524 to 776 of the family's 1533-position model. The record is from RNAcentral.